RNAcentral lists this ribosomal RNA (2787 nucleotides) under Escherichia coli. Its description in RNAcentral is "bacterial LSU rRNA". It matches the Rfam family "Bacterial large subunit ribosomal RNA". Lineage: Bacteria; Pseudomonadati; Pseudomonadota; Gammaproteobacteria; Enterobacterales; Enterobacteriaceae. The record is from RNAcentral.
AGCGUACACGGUGGAUGCCCUGGCAGUCAGAGGCGAUGAAGGACGUGCUAAUCUGCGAUAAGCGUCGGUGAGGUGAUAUGAACCGUUAUAACCGGCGAUUUCCGAAUGGGGAAACCCAGUGUGUUUCGACACACUAUCAUUAACUGAAUCCAUAGGUUAAUGAGGCGAACCGGGGGAACUGAAACAUCUAAGUACCCCGAGGAAAAGAAAUCAACCGAGAUUCCCCCAGUAGCGGCGAGCGAACGGGGAGGAGCCCAGAGCCUGAAUCAGUGUGUGUGUUAGUGGAAGCGUCUGGAAAGGCGCGCGAUACAGGGUGACAGCCCCGUACACAAAAAUGCACAUGCUGUGAGCUCGAUGAGUAGGGCGGGACACGUGGUAUCCUGUCUGAAUAUGGGGGGACCAUCCUCCAAGGCUAAAUACUCCUGACUGACCGAUAGUGAACCAGUACCGUGAGGGAAAGGCGAAAAGAACCCCGGCGAGGGGAGUGAAAAAGAACCUGAAACCGUGUACGUACAAGCAGUGGGAGCCUCUUAAUGGGGUGACUGCGUACCUUUUGUAUAAUGGGUCAGCGACUUAUAUUCUGUAGCAAGGUUAACCGAAUAGGGGAGCCGAAGGGAAACCGAGUCUUAACUGGGCGUUAAGUUGCAGGGUAUAGACCCGAAACCCGGUGAUCUAGCCAUGGGCAGGUUGAAGGUUGGGUAACACUAACUGGAGGACCGAACCGACUAAUGUUGAAAAAUUAGCGGAUGACUUGUGGCUGGGGGUGAAAGGCCAAUCAAACCGGGAGAUAGCUGGUUCUCCCCGAAAGCUAUUUAGGUAGCGCCUCGUGAAUUCAUCUCCGGGGGUAGAGCACUGUUUCGGCAAGGGGGUCAUCCCGACUUACCAACCCGAUGCAAACUGCGAAUACCGGAGAAUGUUAUCACGGGAGACACACGGCGGGUGCUAACGUCCGUCGUGAAGAGGGAAACAACCCAGACCGCCAGCUAAGGUCCCAAAGUCAUGGUUAAGUGGGAAACGAUGUGGGAAGGCCCAGACAGCCAGGAUGUUGGCUUAGAAGCAGCCAUCAUUUAAAGAAAGCGUAAUAGCUCACUGGUCGAGUCGGCCUGCGCGGAAGAUGUAACGGGGCUAAACCAUGCACCGAAGCUGCGGCAGCGACACUAUGUGUUGUUGGGUAGGGGAGCGUUCUGUAAGCCUGUGAAGGUGGCCUGUGAGGGUUGCUGGAGGUAUCAGAAGUGCGAAUGCUGACAUAAGUAACGAUAAAGCGGGUGAAAAGCCCGCUCGCCGGAAGACCAAGGGUUCCUGUCCAACGUUAAUCGGGGCAGGGUGAGUCGACCCCUAAGGCGAGGCCGAAAGGCGUAGUCGAUGGGAAACAGGUUAAUAUUCCUGUACUUGGUGUUACUGCGAAGGGGGGACGGAGAAGGCUAUGUUGGCCGGGCGACGGUUGUCCCGGUUUAAGCGUGUAGGCUGGUUUUCCAGGCAAAUCCGGAAAAUCAAGGCUGAGGCGUGAUGACGAGGCACUACGGUGCUGAAGUGACAAAUGCCCUGCUUCCAGGAAAAGCCUCUAAGCAUCAGGUAACAUCAAAUCGUACCCCAAACCGACACAGGUGGUCAGGUAGAGAAUACCAAGGCGCUUGAGAGAACUCGGGUGAAGGAACUAGGCAAAAUGGUGCCGUAACUUCGGGAGAAGGCACGCUGAUAUGUAGGUGAAGCGACUUGCUCGUGGAGCUGAAAUCAGUCGAAGAUACCAGCUGGCUGCAACUGUUUAUUAAAAACACAGCACUGUGCAAACACGAAAGUGGACGUAUACGGUGUGACGCCUGCCCGGUGCCGGAAGGUUAAUUGAUGGGGUUAGCGGUAACGCGAAGCUCUUGAUCGAAGCCCCGGUAAACGGCGGCCGUAACUAUAACGGUCCUAAGGUAGCGAAAUUCCUUGUCGGGUAAGUUCCGACCUGCACGAAUGGCGUAAUGAUGGCCAGGCUGUCUCCACCCGAGACUCAGUGAAAUUGAACUCGCUGUGAAGAUGCAGUGUACCCGCGGCAAGACGGAAAGACCCCGUGAACCUUUACUAUAGCUUGACACUGAACAUUGAGCCUUGAUGUGUAGGAUAGGUGGGAGGCUUUGAAGUGUGGACGCCAGUCUGCAUGGAGCCGACCUUGAAAUACCACCCUUUAAUGUUUGAUGUUCUAACGUUGGCCCGUAAUCCGGGUUGCGGACAGUGUCUGGUGGGUAGUUUGACUGGGGCGGUCUCCUCCUAAAGAGUAACGGAGGAGCACGAAGGUUGGCUAAUCCUGGUCGGACAUCAGGAGGUUAGUGCAAUGGCAUAAGCCAGCUUGACUGCGAGCGUGACGGCGCGAGCAGGUGCGAAAGCAGGUCAUAGUGAUCCGGUGGUUCUGAAUGGAAGGGCCAUCGCUCAACGGAUAAAAGGUACUCCGGGGAUAACAGGCUGAUACCGCCCAAGAGUUCAUAUCGACGGCGGUGUUUGGCACCUCGAUGUCGGCUCAUCACAUCCUGGGGCUGAAGUAGGUCCCAAGGGUAUGGCUGUUCGCCAUUUAAAGUGGUACGCGAGCUGGGUUUAGAACGUCGUGAGACAGUUCGGUCCCUAUCUGCCGUGGGCGCUGGAGAACUGAGGGGGGCUGCUCCUAGUACGAGAGGACCGGAGUGGACGCAUCACUGGUGUUCGGGUUGUCAUGCCAAUGGCACUGCCCGGUAGCUAAAUGCGGAAGAGAUAAGUGCUGAAAGCAUCUAAGCACGAAACUUGCCCCGAGAUGAGUUCUCCCUGACUCCUUGA